This 1607-nucleotide long non-coding RNA is filed under the name Fukomys damarensis (Damara mole-rat). RNAcentral describes it as "lncRNA (ENSFDAG00000026347.1)". Lineage: Eukaryota; Metazoa; Chordata; Mammalia; Rodentia; Bathyergidae. The record is from RNAcentral.
AUGGAGCAUCAUCAGCAAACCCGGAGAACUGAAAGUAAAACUCCACUCAACUGGACCUGCAUUAUGAUCUGGGUGAUUUCCCUUGGGACAAUAAUAGCGUUGUCCAAAGAGAACUUAGGUCAUACUAAAAAUGUUUGGGUGCAAUUAGCUGAAUCCUUAAAUUUGUCUGAAAUAUGUUUAAAUGCUGAUGUGAAUUUUCAUUAUGUGCUUGGAAGUUGUUUGGUUCCAGUAUGCACCCCACUUAAAAGUAUUAGACCAUAUUCUAUGUUUAAAAAUUUCCCACAAGUAAAUCUCAGUUAUUUGAAUAGUUACAAUUGGGGACAGGUGACAUGUUACAAACCAAAGAAUGCUAUUAAGCUAUAUACCCCUCGAGUAGCUAUGCCCAAUAAGACUCUCUGUGCCAAAUAUAAAGGUUGUGAGAGGGUUAAAAAUAUGUGCUGCUUCAAUUUAACAAAUAAUGGGCCAGCUAUAGAACAAGACAUAGAAAAGCUCAAAGAUUUAGCUACAAAGAUUCAUAAUGAACAGAUAGGAUGGGAUUUAUUUAAAUGGUUAACAAGUUGGUUGCCUGACAUUACCUGGGUAAAACAACUGAUACUCUGUAUGAUGGUAUUAGGAUUUUAUAUUGCAAUAACUUGUUGUCUUUUACAAUGUGUUCCUUUAGUAAGGCCCAGAGUCAGAUAUAAGUAAAUCAAAGAUUUGAUUUAGGUCCAAAAAUCAGUGGGGAAUGUAAGAGCCUGACUAAACCAGAGUGACUCCAUGUUGACCAGCAAAUGACCUAGAGACUGUCACUCCCCCCCAUCCCUUAUAGGAUAACUAAUGAUUAAUUGUGAAUUGUUAGGUAACUGCUUUGAAGUAGCUGGGAAACUAAAUGGAAACUGUAGUGAACACAGAGACCCAACAUAAAUCACGCCACUCCUUACAUGCCUGUAGUUGAAUGUUCUGAACUUUAUAAUCUAAGUUAUAAAUGGAACAAUGGAUAAUCAAUCUGCUGAUCAUUAGUAUGUGACGAUCAAGUAUAUGCUUGAUGACCACUAGCUCAGAUCAACUGAUUCUUUGCCUUUGUCCUCUUCCUGUAAGUUUUAAGUGUAACCCCCCCCCCAGCCCUAUAUAAAAUGGCCUCUGUUUCUGAGCUAGCCACCUCUCUGAGCUACUUGGCUUGGGGAGUGCCGUCUGGCCAGACUAAUAAAGGUCUAUUUGCCAAUUUGCCUGGUGUGUUCCUUCCUGGGUGACUCUCGCUGUCCGACAAGCUCCUGGAGCCUCGCUGAGCUUCUGAGCCCAGCACCGUGGAAGCCUCUUGGCUAUUCACGCUCCAGGAGUAAAAGUGAGACUUAAGUCUUACAUUGUUAAGUGAAGUAAAUCAGACAUCGAAGCUUAAAUAUUGCGUGGUUUCUCUUCUAUAAAAAACCCAAAAUAUAAACACCAAAAUAAAAGACAGUUAAUAGAAAAUAGGGAGAGAGAUCUUUUCCAAAUGGGAAAAGAACCAAGAGAUAGAGGGAGAAGGGAUAGAGGGGAGGAGAAAGGUCUAAAAAAAAAAGAACUGAGAUGUAUUAUGUCCAUGUACCAACUCCUCAUGAGGAAUUCAACCAUUAUGUCCUACAAACAUUAAC